Molecule: ribosomal RNA, 262 nt
Filed under: uncultured bacterium
Lineage: Bacteria
Description: partial 16S ribosomal RNA
Rfam family: Bacterial small subunit ribosomal RNA
Source: RNAcentral
GUCCACGCCCUAAACGAUGUCAACUGGUUGUUGGGUCUUAACUGACUCAGUAACGAAGCUAACGCGUGAAGUUGACCGCCUGGGGAGUACGGCCGCAAGGUUGAAACUCAAAGGAAUUGACGGGACCCGCACAAGCGGUGGAUGAUGUGGUUUAAUUCGAUGCAACGCGAAAACCUUACCCACCUUUGACAUGUACGGAAGGAUCCAGAGAUGGAUUUGUGCUCGAAAGAGAACCGUAACACAGGUGCUGCAUGGCUGUCGU